GGAUAUAAUUUAUCCGACAGGAUUUUCUAAUAUCCGCCACCAUCUUCCGUCACCUAAAGCUAAUAUUGUAGUAGUGAUGGGCAAAUUUAUGGUGUAUCUUGAACACCAUCGCAUGGUGUCACAAUUUCACACAAAUGUUUUAGUUGCACAAAUAUUUAUUGUAUGUCAACAAAUUUGUUAGUUUUAUAUGUUUGGGUAGUGUUACUCUUAUUAACAAUAUAAUUGAUCUCUCUUAUAGGUCAACUCUUCAGUUACUUCUUGUCGCAGGGAAAGUAUUAUGUUCUUUCCGUUGAUGAGGGAAUUAAUAGUUGAUUCCUUGUUAGAGAUUAUUGAGAAUUUGAGAUUGUAUCUCGAUUAAAUGAUGUCGUUGUGGUUGCUUAUUUUCUUUAGAGGUCAUAGAUAGAGAUCAAUUAUGUCCUCAAUAAGUCAUGCAGCCGUUGUUUGAUUGUUCUUCUUUGAAUAUGAUAGGGACUGCAUCUCCAAUAACCAAUACCCAAAGUAUCUAAUUAGUCAAAUUAUAACAAUAUAUUGUUGAAAUUUUGAAACAAAUUAAUAAUUAAAAAAUUACGAAAUUGGGUAACCUUAAGUUAUCUUAAAUAUAUAAUUAACAACCUUCCGAUCAUGUUCAACUUCAACCUUUGUAGUUCAACCAACCACCCACCUUUUCACCAAAAUAUAUGCAUAAUCUUCUAUUACACCAAUACAAAAGUCGGAUUAAUUAUGUAUGAUUAGACGUAUAUGACUGGUUUCUUAGGAAAUACAUACCGGUUUUCUAUUUCAUGAUCCACCUAUUGUUUUACAGAUUCUUGGUUAAAUGGGAUUAGAUUAAUGGCGGUCUGGCUUCAAAUCGUGGUGCUGCUUAUGAAUUUAUUUCAAGUUUUGGUUGUUUAC
This 891-nucleotide long non-coding RNA is filed under the name Malus domestica (apple). RNAcentral describes it as "long non-coding RNA (MDOM_LNC021170)". The record is from RNAcentral. Lineage: Eukaryota; Viridiplantae; Streptophyta; Magnoliopsida; Rosales; Rosaceae.